RNAcentral lists this ribosomal RNA (253 nucleotides) under uncultured bacterium. Its description in RNAcentral is "partial 16S ribosomal RNA". It matches the Rfam family "Bacterial small subunit ribosomal RNA", at positions 524 to 776 of the family's 1533-position model. The record is from RNAcentral.
UACGUAGGGUGCAAGCGUUGUCCGGAAUUAUUGGGCGUAAAGAGCGUGUAGGCGGUUUGGUAGGUCCGCUGUGAAAACUCGAGGCUCAACCUCGAGACGCCGGUGGAAACCAUCAGGCUAGAGUCCGGAAGAGGAGAGUGGAAUUCCUGGUGUAGCGGUGAAAUGCGCAGAUAUCAGGAAGAACACCAAUGGCGAAAGCAGCUCUCUGGGACGGUACUGACGCUGAGACGCGAAAGCGUGGGGAGCGAACAGG